RNAcentral lists this long non-coding RNA (316 nucleotides) under Homo sapiens (human). RNAcentral's name for it is "non-protein coding lnc-GPT2-1:4". The record is from RNAcentral. Lineage: Eukaryota; Metazoa; Chordata; Mammalia; Primates; Hominidae.
CUAUGAUGUACAGAGGCCUGGUCCGGGGAGAGGAGUGUUACAAAAGUGCCUGCCUUCAACCCAUUUACGGUUUAUGGAGACAGAAAAGUCAUGAGACUUCCAUUUCUGAAGGGGUCCUGUUCCAUAUCCUCAAGAAGGGAGUGCUGCACAGAGAGGCCAUGAGGAAUCUAAGCAGACAGGCCUUGCUGGGUUUCCCCACUCAGUCUGUUAAUAUUAGAUCAUACCUUUUUGUCCAGUCACAUUUUUACAUGGUUGUCAAUUAUGCCUGUCCAGUAAAGUCUCCAUAAAAGGCCCAAGAAGACAGAGUUGGAGUUCC